UGAUGAUCAUCCUGGAUUGCUCCAGGGAUAC
RNAcentral lists this non-coding RNA (31 nucleotides) under Geobacter sulfurreducens KN400. Lineage: Bacteria; Pseudomonadati; Thermodesulfobacteriota; Desulfuromonadia; Geobacterales; Geobacteraceae. The record is from RNAcentral.